AGAGUUUGAUCAUGGCUCAGGACGAAUGCUGGCGGUGCGCUUAAUGCAUGCAAGUCGAGCGAAGCUUCAUAAUAGCUUGCUAUUUUGAAUGACUGAGCGGCGAACGGGUGAGUAACGCGUGAACAAUCUACCUUAAAUAUUGGGAUAGCUCAAGGAAACUUGAAUUAAUACUGGAUAAUCUUUUAUAUUCACAUGAAUAGUAAAGCAAAGGUCAGCCGAUUUAAGAUGAGUUCGCGUUCUAUCAGCUUGUUGGUAAGGUAAUGGCUUACCAAGGCUACGACGGAUAGCUGGUCUGAGAGGACGAUCAGCCACACUGGGACUGAGACACGGCCCAGACUCCUACGGGAGGCUGCAGCAGGGAAUCUUGCGCAAUGAGCGAAAGCUUGACGCAGCGACACCGCGUGUGGGAUGACGGAUCUAGGUUUGUAAACCACUUUCAGGAGGGAAGAAAUUGACGGUACCUCCACAAGAAGCCCCGGCCAACUACGUGCCAGCCGCCGCGGUAAUUC
This 509-nucleotide ribosomal RNA is filed under the name uncultured bacterium. RNAcentral's name for it is "bacterial SSU rRNA". It matches the Rfam family "Bacterial small subunit ribosomal RNA", at positions 8 to 526 of the family's 1533-position model. The record is from RNAcentral.